Solanum dulcamara is the source of this 160-nucleotide small nuclear RNA. RefSeq annotates it as U1 spliceosomal RNA. Lineage: Eukaryota; Viridiplantae; Streptophyta; Magnoliopsida; Solanales; Solanaceae. The transcript has a single exon. The record is from RefSeq and is a predicted model, not a curated record.
CUACUUACCUGGACGGGGUCAAUGGGUGAUCAAUAAGAUCCAUGGCCUAGGCUAGUGACUUCCAUUGCACUUAGGAAGGGUGCUAGUUUAAGGUCGGCUCAAGUGGUCGAGCCUAUGUCAUAAUUUGUGGUAGAGGGGGCCUGCGUCCGCGCGGCUCCUG